UGCAAUGGAAGAAUAUGUAGGUA
Molecule: non-coding RNA, 23 nt
Filed under: Arabidopsis thaliana (thale cress)
Lineage: Eukaryota; Viridiplantae; Streptophyta; Magnoliopsida; Brassicales; Brassicaceae
Source: RNAcentral